RNAcentral lists this long non-coding RNA (332 nucleotides) under Brassica rapa (field mustard). RNAcentral's name for it is "long non-coding RNA (BRAP_LNC002500)". Lineage: Eukaryota; Viridiplantae; Streptophyta; Magnoliopsida; Brassicales; Brassicaceae. The record is from RNAcentral.
GCGGUCUUCUUGCGACGGGAAAGCCUUCCGUGAAAAUGUGUUUGUCUACCAUGCGAUUUUUUCUUGAUUCGUUUGAUGAGUUGUUUCAGGUUCUUCAUCAUGGAUUGAUGUUUGAAAACAAUCUCGGUAAGCUGUUCAUUUGUGAAGGUGGUUUUAGUAGCAUGUGUAAAGUAUGAACUUAUACGCCUUUGUUUCCUUAAAGAGGGAUGUUUCUUCUUGACCUGUCCGGGUUUGAGAGAUUGCUUAAUACUAGCAGACACCUUCUUCUUGACCCUCUGUUUAGGCUUGACAAUGAGAGGCUCGGAAGUAACUCCACCUAGCCAGACUUCUUU